This 337-nucleotide ribosomal RNA is filed under the name Gordonia paraffinivorans. RNAcentral describes it as "bacterial SSU rRNA". It matches the Rfam family "Bacterial small subunit ribosomal RNA", at positions 19 to 355 of the family's 1533-position model. The record is from RNAcentral. Lineage: Bacteria; Bacillati; Actinomycetota; Actinomycetes; Mycobacteriales; Gordoniaceae.
UUGGCUCAGGACGAACGCUGGCGGCGUGCUUAACACAUGCAAGUCGAACGGAAAGGCCCAGCUUGCUGGGUACUCGAGUGGCGAACGGGUGAGUAACACGUGGGUGAUCUGCCCUGGACUCUGGGAUAAGCCUGGGAAACUGGGUCUAAUACCGGAUAUUCACUUUCUCUCGCAUGGGGGUUGGUGGAAAGCUUUUGCGGUUCAGGAUGGGCCCGCGGCCUAUCAGCUUGUUGGUGGGGUAAUGGCCUACCAAGGCGACGACGGGUAGCCGACCUGAGAGGGUGAUCGGCCACACUGGGACUGAGACACGGCCCAGACUCCUACGGGAGGCAGCAGU